Molecule: ribosomal RNA, 371 nt
Filed under: uncultured bacterium
Lineage: Bacteria
Description: bacterial SSU rRNA
Rfam family: Bacterial small subunit ribosomal RNA
Source: RNAcentral
GCAGUCGAGCGAGACCUUCGGGUCUAGCGGCGGACGGGUGAGUAACGCGUGGGAACGUGCCCUUUGCUACGGAAUAGUCCCGGGAAACUGGGUUUAAUACCGUAUGUGCCCUUCGGGGGAAAGAUUUAUCGGCAAAGGAUCGGCCCGCGUUGGAUUAGGUAGUUGGUGGGGUAAUGGCCUACCAAGCCGACGAUCCAUAGCUGGUUUGAGAGGAUGAUCAGCCACACUGGGACUGAGACACGGCCCAGACUCCUACGGGAGGCAGCAGUGGGGAAUCUUAGACAAUGGGGGCAACCCUGAUCUAACCGUGCCGCGUGAGUGAUGAAGGCCUUACGGUUGUAAAGCUCUUUCAGCUGGGAAGAUAAUGACGG